ACCACCACAGAACCGGAGUCCAGAGAUCAUCAAGUAAGGAACUGCAACAGCUAAAAGGAAAAAAGCUUCACUGAAGUCUAGAGAAACUUGUGUCUUAGGGAAGACACUGCUCACUUGGGAGCUUUGAUGGCCCAUACUUGAAUUGACUGGGGAAAAAAUCAGGAGGAUCCUGACAUAAAAUAGCAGUCCUCAGAAAAAAAAAGGAUUAAACCCUGUUACUUAUCACACAUGGAUGGAAAUUAAUGAUACUGUUCAGUGAAAUGAUACAGAAAGAAGACAAAUGUCUCUGAAUCUCCCUGAUAUCUGGAAUUCAAGAAAAUUGACCUCGCAGAAGUUGAGAGUGGAACAGCAGCCUCCAGGGACUGGAAGAAUAAACAUGCAGGAGGCCUGGGAAAACAUGGUCACUGACUUACAGUUAAGGAGCAGUUUUCGGUGUGAGUCUCCUGUCACCUGGAUAGCAUGGACAUCCGUAAACCCACAUAACAUGGAGGUGAUGAAUGGAACCGCUAAAUAAAAUAAUGAAAGCUUUUUAUUCAUA
Peromyscus leucopus (white-footed mouse) is the source of this 538-nucleotide long non-coding RNA. RefSeq lists it as uncharacterized. NCBI's taxonomy places the organism in Eukaryota, Metazoa, Chordata, Mammalia, Rodentia, Cricetidae. The transcript is spliced from 4 exons. The record is from RefSeq and is a predicted model, not a curated record.